Molecule: long non-coding RNA, 7256 nt
Filed under: Homo sapiens (human)
Lineage: Eukaryota; Metazoa; Chordata; Mammalia; Primates; Hominidae
Description: HSALNT0251789
Source: RNAcentral
GUAAGUCUUAUAUCACAACCACCUCCUAAAAUCAAAAUGGAGCUGUUUCUGUAGGAGUCAGACUACCUCCUUUAGAGGAUAUGGGAGUAGUCCAUCACUCAUUCAGACAGUUUUAUUAAGCGUGAUAUAGUCUACCUCUCUCAGCACUGGGCGUGGUGCAUCUCCUAUUGUUAGGCAAUUCCCUUACUUCCUGAUCCUUCAAUUCACUUACUUCCUGAUCCUUCAAUUCACUUUCUUUAUAAUUACGAAAUGGUCUGAGAUAACCAGGUUCCCCUUGCUCAAGCUUCCAAAAAUCAGGCUGACAAGUUACAUUUGGACAUCUGCUCUUCAAAAGCCAAAGGCAGAGUUUUCUGUUAAAUAAUGAGCUGUCCAAGCAUAUUUUGAUUCAUUCAGGCCACAUACAGCAGCAGGAGUUUCUGGGUGGUGCCUCAGGUCUAAAUUUUACUGUAAUCCUACAGGUUAGAAAUCAAUGAGCUGAUCAGAACAUAUCCAGUUUCCAAAGAUAUGAGUGGCACCAUCAAUAUAAAUUAGUUCUCCAGUAAUGUCAAAGGGCACACUUAGCAGUGCUGUCAGAACAACCAGAAAAACCACAUUCAAAAGGGAACACAGCCUAAGGCACACAACUCAUGAUAAAUACCUGGGAAAAAACCAGUUAGCUCUGCCUUUAGCUGUUCCCACCCCAAUUUUCACGAUUAAAACUACAAUCGACAUACUAAUUAGUCGGCAGACAUCUCUAUAAUGUUUAUACUCCUAAAAAACAUGUUAUGUUGGUUAACUGAACCUAUACAAUACUUAGAAAUCUCCCUAAAGUUAUCCUAAAAACAAAACAAAAACAAAAACUUUGCAAGCUUUCUGAGUUCAAACCUGUAAUUUUGUUACCUAUCAGUGCUUUAUAAAAGAGCUAAGAUAAUUAUAAGGAACAAGCCUCCUAAAAUGUAAAAUUCCAUUGUUCCUCUACUACCCGCCCAUCAGUGGCAAAUAAACACCUUACCAUGACAUUCACUGUGAGUAUUGCUAGCGGGAGAAGUGGAGGAGAAAGCAGUCAAUUAUACCUGAUGAUCAGGGAUGGAGAGAGACAGGAGGGAUGCUGAGUUGGCCUUGAAGGUCAAGUCCCAAGCUGGGCCACUAUCUGAUUGGGAGAUAGAAAGUGAGAGGAGAAAGGCAUUUCUGGAAAGAAAUCCCUGGGGGCAAAUAUUCUGCAGCACUGAAGGCACACAGGAUUAGUUCAGUUACUAAAGUGCGGGUAGACAGGGGAGGAAGAAGAAGAGAGUUGGAAGAGGAGACUGGAAAGCAGACUGAGGCAAGGCUGGGAAGGCCUUGGGUGCUAGCGGCAUUUGGAAUUUGUGUGCUAAGCAGGGAGAGGCCAUCUGAGUUCUCCCAUGCAUUGAGUAAACAACACGUCCCGACCUCGUGGCAGGUAUUCAGUCAGCUGCUGGUGAGCAACGUGGCUCCUGUCCCUAUGAAGCUUAAAGUCUAAGGUAAGGCAGACCCUAGGAAUUCGGCGCACAGAAGCCUCUCUGCUGUGAUGGAGAAGUAACAGGGACGAUGAGGACAUAGAGCAGGGAAGGGGGCCUAGGAAGCUAUUCUGGAAGAAGUGAGUUGGUUCCUGAAGUUGAAGCACCUGCAGAGGUGAGGAGGUGGGGAGCAGAAGUGCAGGAUCCAUCUGUGCAAAGAGGCUGGGGCCUCAACAACAUGAACUGUUUUAAUCAGAUUUGCAUUUUAGAAAUGAUAACCCUAGGCCUGGAGCGGUGGCUCAUGCCUGUAAUUCCAACACUACGGGAGGCAGAGGCUCUACUAACAAAUCUCUACUAAAAAUACAAAAAUUAGCUGGGUGUGGUGGUGCAUGCCUGUAAUUCCAGCUACUCAGGAGGCUGAAGCAGGAAAAUCUCUUAACACAGGAGGCAGAGGACGCAGUGAGCCAAGAUCACACCAUUGCACUCCAGCCUGGGUGACAGAGCGAGACUCUGUCUUAAAAAAAAAAAAAAAAAGAAAAGAAAGAAAUGAUAACCCUGACCAAGGACUCCAGGAAAAGAUGGUGUUAAUCUGUGGCCAAGACAAGAGUGCAGAAAGUCCUUACUGUCCUCUGGCAACAGGGGCCAAAGGCGGAGGCUAAUAAGGUGGUGCAGACAGAAAGGGUGGGAUUUCUGGCAGAACUUUCAGAGGCAGAGGCAGCAUUUUACAACUCACUUCAUCCGGGCAGGGGGUCUGGGAGGAAAAACAUUGAAAAAGGUGCCCAGUUUCUAGCCUUAGCAACUGCUGCAGGCAGCUGAACUCUGCAAGGGUUCUUAUUUGGCCCUGACAUUCUAUACGCACUUAUUAGCAUUUUAUUCAAGAAGAGGGUGGUUCCCCCAAAUGUUUCCAUAUUUAGCCAAAGGAAGCUAAAUUUCAAACUUCAAGUGUCUACUCAAACCUAAGACUGAACCCCUCAAUUUCCCUCAUAACUCCAUUAUCCCCCAGGCUUCCUCACGUCAGUAAAAGGCAACCCCAUCUCCCAGGUGCUCAUGCCAAACACCUAGAGUCAUGCUGGAGUCUCAUCUUCCCUCCUACCCUGCUCCCUAUUCAUCCGUAAGCCCUAGGCUCUGCCUUCCAAAUGUUUCCAGAACCUAAAACCUCUCCUCACCUCCCUGCAAGCUGCUUGGCUGAAGCUCUGUUCUCCCUCACCCGGAUUAGAGGUAGCCCCAGACAGCAUGCCCUUCAGUCUAGCUCCAACAUGGAGGGCAGGCUGAUUCUUUCCAAAGGUAAUCAGAUGGAGUUACUCCUCGGCUCGAAACUCUGCAGUGGGUUCUCACUUCUCUCAGAGUAAAACCCAAAAUCUACCUGCUCUCUUUCCCUCUCAUCUACAGCCACCCUGCUGUCUCCCUGGUCCUGGAGCUUGGGGCCACACAGUGUCUGUUCCUGUACCUGGAAUGCUCUUCCCCCGUAGCCACAAGGCUUAGCCCCUCACCUUACUGUCCUAGCUCUAAUGUCACCUUUUUAGGAGCCCAAUCAAUCACCACCAUAUUUAAACCCCAGCCUUGCCAGUCCCCCUUCUUUACAUUGUUGUCCAUAGCACUUCUCAUCUGCUAUCAGACUUUAAAAUUUAUUAGGCUGGGCACAGUGGCUCAUGCCUAUAAUCCCAGCACUUUGGGAGGCCAAGGCAGGUGGAACACCUGAGGUCAGGAGUCUGAGACCAGCCUGGCCAACAUGGCGAAGCCCCGUCUCUACAAAAAUACAAAAAUUAGCUGGACAUGAUGGUGUGUGCCUGUAAUCCCAGCUACAUGGUAGGCUGGGGCAGGAGAACUGCUUGAACCUGGAGGCGGAGGUUGCAGUGAGCUGAGAUUGUGCCAUUGCACUCCAGCCUGGGCGACAGAGUGUGAGACUCCAUCUCAAAAAUAAAUAAAAUUUAUUUAUUAAUAAUCUCUUCUAACCGGAAUGUACACUCCCAGAGCAAAGGGAUUUUUGCUUAUUUUGUUUAGCUACAUCCCCAGCACCCAGAAUACAGUACAAUGUACGGUAACUAUCUUACAGAUGUUUGUUGACUGAAUGAAAAGUCACCUAUUAAUAAGGCUCCCUGAGUCACCUGGACAAAAUAGUAAGCCCUCACCUCUUUUGCCCUUCAUGCUUAUUUAUUUUUCCUUGCAUAUAUCAUCAACGUGUGAUAAAUGUUAAUACCACAUAUUAGUGUGUUUAUUCUCUUCUCCACACAAGAAUGCCAACUCCAUAGGGGCAGGAAUCUUGUCUCUUUUCUCUUUGUUGUAUGAUGAACACCCAGGACAGAGCCUGGCACAGAGGAGAUGAGAAAGAGAAGGAAGGAGAGACAGAGGUCAGGUGUGGUGGCUCAUGCCUGUAAUCCCAACACUUUGGGAGGCCAAGAGGGGUGCACUGCUUGAGCCUGGAGAGUUCGAGACCAGCUUGGGCAACAUGGUGAAACCCCGUCUCUACAAAAAGUACAAAAAUAGUAGUUGGGCGUGGUGGCAUGUGCCUGUAGUCCCAGCUACUUGAAAAGCUGAGUCGGGAGGAUUGCUUGAGCCCAGGGGUCAAGGCUGCAGUGAGCAAUGAUCAUGUCAUUGCAGUCCAGCCUGGGUGACAGAUGGAGACCCUGUCUCAAAAAAAGAAAAGAGAAAGAGAAGGAAGGAGGGGGAGAGAGACGAAAGAAAGAAAAAGAAAGGAGGAGGGAAGGAGGAAGGAGAGGGGCGGAAUGGAGGGAAAAGGAGAAGGAAAGACAGAAGAAGGAAGAGAGGGAGGAAGGGAGAAGGGAGGAAAGAGAAAGAAGGAGACAGGGAGUGCGGAAAGAAAUAGAAAGGAGGAAGGAAUUCUAACUCCAUAUUAUCAAGGUCACAGAUGAGUAGCCUAAAAUAAAAAAUUGGUUGUUCUACCUAGAGCAAGAGAUUCUGUCAGGAUUCUGUCAGAGAGCAGUGAAACAACUGGCCAUGUUUUUUUUUUUUUUUUUUUGAAAUGGAGUUUCGCUCUUGUUGCCCAGGCUGGAGUGCAAUGGUGCAUUCUCAGCUCACUGCAACCUCCACCUCCUGGGUUCAAGCAAUUCUCCUGCCUCAGCCUCCCAAGUAGCUGAGAUUACAGACAUGUGCCACCACACCCGGCUAAUUUUGCAUUUUUAGUAGAGACGGCGUUUCUCCAUAUUGAUCAGGCUGGUCUCAAACUCCCGACCUCAGGUGAUCCGCCUGCCUUGGCCUCCCAAAGUGCUGGGAUUACAGGCGUGAGCUGCUGCGCCCAGCCUAGGCAUUUCUUUAAAAUCUAUCCAUUCAUGUGCUCCAUUAGUCAAAAUAAAAGGCAAUAUCUAGUAAUGAUGCCAGGAUAAGGAGUAGGCUACAUUGGAUUCUAAUCAAAGGAGGCAUGAGUCACUGAAAAACCAUCAUCAUUUGUUGGCUGCUUUCUUCUAUAGUUUCUGAACAAUAAAUAAGAAGGAUUGGCCAAUCUUGUUACUUGGCAUAAUAAACCAGGUAAGCAUACUUGAUGAUUCAAUUCCAUUUGGAACCGAUACUACACGUUAAGGAAACAAAACUAACAUUGGCAUUCAGCUGAGUUCUGUCCAACGACCCUUUGCCUCCACUGUGUCUUGUUGGGCAUGCUGCUAUAAUUUUAAAGGUAAUGACUGUAAUAGUACCACCUCGCAUUCAUGUGAGUUCACGUGAAUUAGGCUUCUACCACUCUUGAAAGUAAUUUUAAUUAUCUCGUUUAAUGACCUUCACCUUGCAGGAAAGAAACAGAGACAUGAAGAGGUUAAGACAAGUGACGGAGGUCUCAGGGCCAGCAUGCCUGCCCCUCGUCCUGACAUAACUGAUUAGGAAAUGAUUUCUAAAUGGUCAAGAGUCCAGCCUCGAUAGCCACUUCUCUGAUUCCAACAGAAUUUCUACAGAAGACAAUUUCCUUGUCUCAGCAAGGAGGGAAUACAGAUGAAUUGGCAGGAUCAGGAGCAGCCAUGUUGCACCAAGAGAAGAUGAAAAAAGCAUAUGUUGCAGAUUGCAAAGUAACUAGGUAAGCAUUUGAGUCCCUAAAACUAUUCCUGGUAUGACUGGUAGCGGCAUACUAGCUUGGACUUUUUUGUGUCAGAGAAAUAAACCUUCAUCUCACUUAAAUCAGUAUUAUUUGGGGCCACUCUCUCUGUAGUAGGAGUGAAACUAGUAUCCUAACUAAUUUAACUGUCAAAAGAAAAAAAAAUAUGAGGCGAGAAAAUAAGGAAUCAAGAAACAAAAGUCAAGUUUUACUCACUUCAUAGCUUGGCUCAAAAGCAACUUUAAAUAUGUGAGAAAUGCAACAAAUGAUAAUCAUGCAUACAGAGAAAUUCCUCAAGUGACAAAUGCUUUUACUUUCAUUUCCUUUCUUGAAAAUUGACAGAGUAAGAUUCAGAUGCAUGUACUGACACUCACGUCAGUAACAUCGGCUCAGGUUAGACUUUGGUCGUCUUAUCCUUCGACUACCUAAGGGACUCAUGGCCAGUAUAUUUUACAACCCCCAGUGCCAGUUACUGAAUUCUCACCUGAGAAUGAAUUCCCUAAGUCUGUAAUGUUUCAUCAUCUUGCAACACAGAUAAGCCUGUGUUUAGAGCAGGCUUUUCCAUAUGAGUCCCUCCUCUUUCACACUGGGGCUGAGUAGAAGGUGAUUGACCUGCCUGAGACUUUAUCAGUUUGGAGUUCAUGUUCCAUGUGGUGUUGGAGGGAGCAAUGGAGGCUGUGAAAUCAGACAUCCUGCUUUUUGACAGGGUUGUUUGAUGACUCACCCAAGCCAUUUUUUAUUCUCGGUGCAUAUUCUAGUUUCCCUUCUCCCGACAGUAGCCUGAUGCACCUGUGCUUGCACUGUCCUUAAGCCUGUUGCUAUUGUUAUGUGGUGUCACUGAGCCCAACACUGCGUGCGUGUGUGUGUGUGUGUGUGUGUGUGUGUGUGUUGAAAGGGGUAGGAAAGUGAGGAUGAUUUUCAACCAUUAAACCCUUAAGGGGCCAUCUUCUGAAGCCUGGCAUCAUCAUUUUUGUUCUCAAGAACAUUUAAGUCAAAAAUAACAAGGUUCCUUUUGCUCAUCUUCAAAUUAUUUUACUUGUUUGAUCCAACUGCUAACUAGAAGGUGAAUUCUUUCUGCUGUCAUUUCAUAAUUCUAGUGUAUUAAAAAGAGAUGGGGGCUGGGCACGGUGGCUCAUGCCUGUAAUCCCAGCACUUUGGGAGGUCAAGGUGGGAGGAUCACUUGAGGCCAGGAGUUCAAGACCAGCCUGAGCAACAUAGCAAGGCCUCCUACAAAAAAUUUUAAAAAUUAGCUGGGCAUGGUGACACCCACCUGUAGUCCCAGCUGCUUGGGAGGCUGAGGCAGGAGGAUUGCUUGAGCCCAGGAGUUUAAGGUUGCAAUGAGCUUCAAGUUUUUAUACCUUCAAUCAUACCAUUUGUGGCUUAGGAACCCCUAAUAUAUUACAUGGAGGGUAAUGUAGACACCAAGAAAAUGAUUGAAAACAAUUUAUGCCUAAAUACAUUUGUAUUCUUCUUUAGAGAAACCUAGUAGACAAACUAAAAGCUACUAAGCAAAUAAAUCAAGGUACUGUAUUUUACAAAAUGACUCAAUUUAUGCAUCAUUUAAAGAGUGUGGAUCCCUUGGGAACUUUAAACAUGGUUGCAUUAGUUAAACAGUUGCUUCAUUCAGAUCCCUCUAGGAACUUGGGCAGCACAAGGGAAGGGGGGCCUCUGUUCCUACUGUGUGGUCCUGGUGAUCUGUGUAGGUAUCUUCUUUUACCGGGUUAAGUGAUAAAAACGGUGUCUUGUGCUCUUUUAUCCAAGUCCAA